This 492-nucleotide ribosomal RNA is filed under the name uncultured bacterium. RNAcentral describes it as "partial 16S ribosomal RNA". It matches the Rfam family "Bacterial small subunit ribosomal RNA", at positions 29 to 507 of the family's 1533-position model. The record is from RNAcentral.
AGUGAACGCUGGCGGUAUGCCUAACACAUGCAAGUCGAACGGCAGCACAGUAAGAGCUUGCUCUUACGGGUGGCGAGUGGCGGACGGGUGAGGAAUACAUCGGAAUCUACUUUUUCGUGGGGGAUAACGUAGGAAAACUUACGCUAAUACCGCAUACUACCUACGGGUGAAAGCAGGGGAUCUUCGGACCUUGCGCGAUUGAAUGAGCCGAUGUCGGAUUAGCUAGUUGGCGGGGUAAAGGCCCACCAAGGCGACGAUCCGUAGCUGGUCUGAGAGGAUGAUCAGCCACACUGGAACUGAGACACGGUCCAGACUCCUACGGGAGGCAGCAGUGGGGAAUAUUGGACAAUGGGCGCAAGCCUGAUCCAGCCAUACCGCGUGGGUGAAGAAGGCCUUCGGGUUGUAAAGCCCUUUUGUUGGGAAAGAAAAGAAGCAGGUUAAUAUCCCGCUGUUCUGACGGUACCCAAAGAAUAAGCACCGGCUAACUUCGUG